This 363-nucleotide unclassified non-coding RNA is filed under the name fungal sp. RNAcentral's name for it is "partial internal transcribed spacer region". The stretch from base 1 to 46 matches the Rfam family "Eukaryotic small subunit ribosomal RNA", at positions 1786 to 1831 of the family's 1831-position model. The record is from RNAcentral. Lineage: Eukaryota; Fungi.
AAGUCGUAACAAGGUUUCCGUAGGUGAACCUGCGGAAGGAUCAUUAACACGUAUCCAAACGUUAAAACCCCCCCCGUGAACCUUCAUCCUGCUCUUGUAACCCGCGUAGGUCGCAAUCUCUGAUAAAUCAUAGCCCGGAAAGUUGUAGUGAUUCAGAGACCUCCCCAAGCAGUCAGUGUUGGAAAGUGUCAUUGAUUGUGCAAGGAUAGCGCUUCUACGAUUCCUGUAGACCGUACACUCGGGCAGGAGCUUUGCCAAAGGGUCCCCAUGCCCCCUAAUAACCCCACAGUUUAAUGUGAAGCUCAAUGUAAUACAUUGGGUAAAAAAACCGAACAACUGUUAACAAUGGAUAUCUUGGUUCUC